UUCCUAACGGGAGGCAGCAGUGGGAAAUUUUACGCAAUGGGCGAAAGCCUGACGGAGCAAUACCGCGUGAGGGAGGAAGGCUCUUGGGUUGUAAACCUCUUUUCUCAGGGAAGAAUAAUGACGGUACCUGAGGAAUAAGCAUCGGCUAACUCCGUGCCAGCAGCCGCGGUAAUACGGAGGAUGCAAGCGUUAUCCGGAAUUAUUGGGCGUAAAGCGUCUGUAGGUGGAUAUUCAAGUCUGCUGUCAAAGACCGGGGCUCAAGCCUGGAAAGGCAGUGGAAACUGAAGAUCUAGAGUGCGGUAGGGGCAGAGGGAAUUCCCAGUGUAGCGGUGAAAUGCGUAGAGAUUGGGAAGAACACCGGUGGCGAAAGCGCUCUGCUGGGCCUGCACUGACACUGAGGGACGAAAGCUAGGGGAGCGAAUGGGAUUAGAUACCCCAGUAGUCCUAGCCGUAAACGAUGGAUUAUAGGCGUAGCUUGUAUCGACCCAAGCUGUGCCGUAGCUAACGCGGUAAGUAUCAACGGCUGGGGAAGCCCCAAAGGGGGG
Molecule: ribosomal RNA, 545 nt
Filed under: uncultured cyanobacterium
Lineage: Bacteria; Bacillati; Cyanobacteriota
Also listed under: 1 other name
Description: bacterial SSU rRNA
Rfam family: Bacterial small subunit ribosomal RNA
Source: RNAcentral